UAGAAUUCCAGGUCUAGCGGUGAAAUGCGUAGAGAUCUGGAGGAAUACCGGUGGCGAAGGCGGCCCCCUGGACAAAGACUGACGCUCAGGUGCGAAAGCGUGGGGAGCAAACAGGAUUAGAUACCCUGGUAGUCCACGCCGUAAACGAUGUCGACUUGGAGGUUGUGCCCUUGAGGCGUGGCUUCCGGAGCUAACGCGUUAAGUCGACCGCCUGGGGAGUACGGCCGCAAGGUUAAAACUCAAAUGAAUUGACGGGGGCCCGCACAAGCGGUGGAGCAUGUGGUUUAAUUCGAUGCAACGCGAAGAACCUUACCUACUCUGGACAUCCAGAGAACUUACCAGAGAUGSUUUGGUGCCUUCGGGAACUCUGAGACAGGUGCUGCAUGGCUGUCGUCAGCUCGUGUUGUGAAAUGUUGGGUUAAGUCCCGCAACGAGCGCAACCCUUAUCCUUUGUUGCCAGCGGAUUAGGCCGGGAACUCAAAUGAGACUGCCAGUGAUAAACUGGAGGAAGGUGGGGAUGACGUCAAGUCAUCAUGGCCCCUACGAGUAGGGCUACACACGUGCUACAAUGGCGCAUACAAAGAGAAGCGACCUCGCGAGAGCAAGCGGACCUCAUAAAGUGCGUCGUAGUCCGGAUUGGAGUCUGCAACUCGACUCCAUGAAGUCGGAAUCGCUAGUAAUCGUGGAUCAGAAUGCCACGGUGAAUACGUUCCC
RNAcentral lists this ribosomal RNA (714 nucleotides) under bacterium F51MS. RNAcentral's name for it is "bacterial SSU rRNA". It matches the Rfam family "Bacterial small subunit ribosomal RNA", at positions 662 to 1375 of the family's 1533-position model. The record is from RNAcentral.